GGGGAUGCAAUGGUUUCGACGGGGAGCGGAAUGCCCGCGAUGGCGCGCCGUGCAUGCCGCAAGCACGUGAAUCCUGCGGCAAGGCAAUAUCUGCCGACUAUCAGUACGCAAUGGCCGCUUGAUCGAGCGGUCACGUCCACCGGAGGCCUUCCUGUCGGCCGAAGGAAAGGGCGUCGCUAAAGACAGGAUACAUCCCCCGGAAUCCGGGAGGGGGGUGGAAGAAAAAAACGGAUGAGCCGUUCAAGAAAUCCUGGCCGCCGGGUUUUGAACGGUGAAAUAAAAUAGACGGCCUACGCGCGUAGAAAUCACGGGGUUCUCUCUUCGGACGGGGGUUCGAUUCCCCCCAUCUCCACGA
This 355-nucleotide transfer-messenger RNA is filed under the name Bacteroidota bacterium. It matches the Rfam family "transfer-messenger RNA". From Rfam's summary of the family: Bacterial tmRNA, also known as 10Sa RNA or SsrA, is named for its dual tRNA and mRNA-like properties. Its role is to liberate the mRNA from a stalled ribosome. The record is from RNAcentral. Lineage: Bacteria; Pseudomonadati; Bacteroidota.